Molecule: ribosomal RNA, 466 nt
Filed under: uncultured bacterium
Lineage: Bacteria
Description: SSU rRNA
Rfam family: Bacterial small subunit ribosomal RNA
Source: RNAcentral
AGAAUGAACGUUGGCGGCGUGGAUUAGGCAUGCAAGUCGUACGGGCCGCAAGGCCAGUGGCGCAAGGGUGAGUAAGGCGACGGUAACCAACCCCAUGACUGGGUAUAGCCGCGGGAAACCGCGGGUAAUCCCCAGCGACGUCCGGGGGGGGCAUCCCCCCGGGACCAAAGCUCCGGCGUCGUGGGACGGGCCGUCGUGGUAUUAGCUGGUUGGCGGGGUAACGGCCCACCAAGGCUGCGAUGCCUACCGGGCGUGCGAGCGUGGCCCGGCACACUGGGACUGAGACACUGCCCAGACUCCUACGGGAGGCAGCAGUGGGGAAUAUUGCGCAAUGGGCGGAAGCCUGACGCAGCGACGCCGCGUGCGGGAUGAAGGCCUUCGGGUUGUAAACCGCUUUCACCAGGGACGAAGCGAGAGUGACGGUACCUGGGGAAGAAGCGCCGGCUAACUACGUGCCAGCAGCCGC